RNAcentral lists this ribosomal RNA (393 nucleotides) under uncultured bacterium. RNAcentral describes it as "bacterial SSU rRNA". It matches the Rfam family "Bacterial small subunit ribosomal RNA", at positions 505 to 898 of the family's 1533-position model. The record is from RNAcentral.
GUGCCAGCCGCCGCGGUAAGACAGAGGUGGCGAGCGUUGUUCGGAAUCACUGGGCUUAAAGGGCGAGUAGGCGGUGGAGCAAGUCUGAGGUGGAAUCCUACGGCUUAACCGUAGAACUGCCUUAGAAACUGUUUUACUUGAGUCAAUGAGGGGAGGGCGGAAUUCCUGGUGUAGCGGUGAAAUGCGUAGAUAUCAGGAGGAAGGCCUGUGGCGAAAGUGGCCCUCUGGCAUUGUACUGACGCUGAGGCGCGAAAGCGUGGGGAGCAAACAGGAUUAGAUACCCUGGUAGUCCACGCCCUAAACGGUGGGCAUUAGGUGUAGGGCUCGUAAGGGUUCUGUGCCGAAGGGAAACCAUUAAAUGCCCCGCCUGGGGAGUACGGCCGCAAGGUUGAA